Molecule: small RNA, 29 nt
Filed under: Bombyx mori (domestic silkworm)
Lineage: Eukaryota; Metazoa; Arthropoda; Insecta; Lepidoptera; Bombycidae
Description: piRNA piR-bmo-1620266
Source: RNAcentral
UGACAACCUACUCCCGAGAACAGUUCAUU